GACGAACGCGGCGGCGUGCUUAACACAUGCAAGUCGAACGAAGAGCGAUGGAAGCUUGCUUCUAUCAAUCUUAGUGGCGAACGGGUGAGUAACGCGUAAUCAACCUGCCCUUCAGAGGGGGACAACAGUUGGAAACGACUGCUAAUACCGCAUACGAUCUAAUCUCGGCAUCGAGGAUAGAUGAAAGGUGGCCUCUACAUGUAAGCUAUCACUGAAGGAGGGGAUUGCGUCUGAUUAGCUAGUUGGAGGGGUAACGGCCCACCAAGGCGAUGAUCAGUAGCCGGUCUGAGAGGAUGAACGGCCACAUUGGGACUGAGACACGGCCCAGACUCCUACGGGAGGCAGCAGUGGGGAAUCUUCCGCAAUGGACGAAAGUCUGACGGAGCAACGCCGCGUGAGUGAUGACGGCCUUCGGGUUGUAAAGCUCUGUUAAUCGGGACGAAAGGCCUUCUUGCGAAUAGUGAGAAGGA
RNAcentral lists this ribosomal RNA (470 nucleotides) under Veillonella parvula. RNAcentral describes it as "bacterial SSU rRNA". It matches the Rfam family "Bacterial small subunit ribosomal RNA", at positions 28 to 472 of the family's 1533-position model. The record is from RNAcentral. Lineage: Bacteria; Bacillati; Bacillota; Negativicutes; Veillonellales; Veillonellaceae.